Molecule: ribosomal RNA, 441 nt
Filed under: uncultured bacterium
Lineage: Bacteria
Description: partial 16S ribosomal RNA
Rfam family: Bacterial small subunit ribosomal RNA
Source: RNAcentral
CCUACGGGCGACAGCAGUGGGGGAUAUUGCACAAUGGGGGGAACCCUGAUGCAGCGAAGUAGCGUGGGUGAAGGAGUGCUUCGGCAUGUAAAGCCCUAUCGGCAGGGAAGCAGAAAGACGGUACUUGACUACGAAGCCCCGGCUACAUAAGUGCAAGCAGCCGCGGUAAUACGGAGGGGGCGAGCGUUAUCCGGAUUCACUGGGUUGAAAGGGAGCGUAGACGGCCAUGAAAGGCAGGGGGGAAAGCCCGGGGCCCAACCCCGGGACUGCCCUUGAAACUGCAUGGCUGGAGUGCGGGAGGGGCAGGCGGAAUUCGUGGUGUAGCGGUGAAAUGCGUAGAUAUCAGGAAGAACACCGACGGCGAAGGCGGGCUGCUGGACCGCGACUGACGUUGAGGCUCGAAAACGUGGGUAGCGAACAGGAUUAGAUACCCGGGUAGUC